AAGGAUGGUCUGUCCUAUACAGCGAGUCCAGCGAACUGAUUUGAAGCUUGCUUCGGGGGGUUACCGGCGGGAGGGUGAGUACACGUGUGCAAGGUGCGUGGAAGACUGGUAUAACUUCGGGAAAUCUAGGCUAUACCGGAUAGGAUCUUCUCGCUGCAUGGGAGAUGAUUGAAAGAUGGUUUCAGCUGUCACUUACUCAUGGGCCCGCAGUGCACUAGCUAGUGGGCGAGGUAACUGCUCACCAAGGCAACGAUGCAGAACCGACCUGAGAGGGUGAUCGGCCACGCUGGGACUGACACACGGCUCCGAGACUCCUACUGGAGGCAGCAGUAGCGGAAUCUUCCGCAAUGGACGAAAGUCUGACUGAGCAACGCCGCGUGAGUGAUGAAGGCUUUCGGGUCUUACAACUCUGUUGUUAGGGAAGAACAAGUACCAGAGUAACUGCUCGUACCUUGACGGUACCUAACCAGAAAGCCACGGCUAACUACGUGCCAGCAGCCGCGGGAAUACGUAGGUGGCAAGCGUUAUCCCGAAUUAUUGGGCGUAAAGCGCGCGCAGGCGGUUUCUUAAGUCUGAUGUGAAAGCCCACGGCUCACCCGUGGAGGGUCAUUGGAAACUGGGGAACUUGACUGCAGAAGAGAAAAGCCGAAUUCCACGUGUAUCGGUGAAAUGCGUAGAGAUGUGGAGGAACACCAGUGGCGAAAGCGGCUUUUUGUUCUGUAACUGACCCUGAGGCGCGAAAGCGUGGGGAGCAUACAGGAUUAGAUACCCUGGUAGUCCACGCCCUAAACCAUUACUGCUAACUGUUAAAGGGUUUCCGCCCCUUAUUGCUGCCACU
RNAcentral lists this ribosomal RNA (838 nucleotides) under uncultured Bacillus sp. RNAcentral describes it as "bacterial SSU rRNA". It matches the Rfam family "Bacterial small subunit ribosomal RNA", at positions 36 to 853 of the family's 1533-position model. Lineage: Bacteria; Bacillati; Bacillota; Bacilli; Caryophanales; Bacillaceae. The record is from RNAcentral.